AUCGAACGCUGGCGGCAGGCCUAACACAUGCAAGUCGAGCGGAGCUGCGGACGGGUGAGUAAUGCCUAGGAAUUUGCCCGGUAGUGGCGGAUAACGUCCGGAAACGGGCGCCAUUACCGCAUACUUUCAGAUGAGUCUAGGUCGGAUUAGCUAGAUGGUGGGGUAAAGGCCUACCAAGGCGACGAUCCGUAACUGGUCUGAGUGGAUGAUCAGUCACACUGUGACUGAGACACGGUCCAGACUCCUACGGGAGGCAGCAGUAGGGAAUAUUGGACAAUGGACGAAAGCCUGAUCCAGCAAUGCCGCGUGUGUGAAGAAGGUUUUCGGAUUGUAAAGCACUGUGGGUAGGGAAGCGGUACCAACAGAAUAAGCAACGGCUAACUUCGUGCCAGCAGCCGCGGUAAUUC
This 407-nucleotide ribosomal RNA is filed under the name uncultured bacterium. RNAcentral describes it as "partial 16S ribosomal RNA". It matches the Rfam family "Bacterial small subunit ribosomal RNA", at positions 30 to 526 of the family's 1533-position model. The record is from RNAcentral.